ACUACGGGUGGCAGCAGGGGGGAAUAUGGGACAAUGGGGGGAACCCUGAUCCAGCGACGCCGCGUGAGUGAAGAAGUAUUUCGGUAUGUAAAGCUCUAUCAGCAGGGAAGAAAGAAAUGACGGUACCUGACUAAGAAGCCCCGGCUAACUACGUGCCAGCAGCCGCGGAAAUACGUAGGGGUCAAGCGUUAUCCGGAUUUACUGGGUGUAAAGGGAGCGUAGACGGCGAUGCAAGUCUGAAGUGAAAGGCAGGGGCCCAACCCCCGGACUGCUUUGGAAACUGGAUGGCUGGAGUGCAGGAGAGGUAAGUGGAAGUCCUGGUGUAGCGGUGAAAUGCGUAGAUAUUAGGAGGAACACCAGUGGCGAAGGCGGCUUACUGGACUGUAACUGACGUUGAGGCUCGAAAGCGUGGGGAGCAAACAGGAUUAGAUACCCCUGUAGUC
This 443-nucleotide ribosomal RNA is filed under the name uncultured bacterium. RNAcentral's name for it is "partial 16S ribosomal RNA". It matches the Rfam family "Bacterial small subunit ribosomal RNA", at positions 338 to 795 of the family's 1533-position model. The record is from RNAcentral.